GCGUUGUCCGGAUUCAUUGGGCGUAAAGAGCGUGUAGGCGGCCAGGUAGGUCGGUUGUGAAAACUGGAGGCUCAACCUUCAGAGGUCGACCGAAACCAUCUGGCUAGAGUCCGGGAGAGGAGAGUGGAAUUCCUGGUGUAGCGGUGAAAUGCGCAGAUAUCAGGAAGAACACCCGUGGCGAAAGCGGCUCUCUGGAACGGUACUGACGCUGAGACGCGAAAGCGUGGGGAGCGAACAGG
This 239-nucleotide ribosomal RNA is filed under the name uncultured bacterium. RNAcentral's name for it is "partial 16S ribosomal RNA". It matches the Rfam family "Bacterial small subunit ribosomal RNA", at positions 538 to 776 of the family's 1533-position model. The record is from RNAcentral.